RNAcentral lists this ribosomal RNA (460 nucleotides) under uncultured bacterium. RNAcentral's name for it is "partial 16S ribosomal RNA". It matches the Rfam family "Bacterial small subunit ribosomal RNA", at positions 338 to 795 of the family's 1533-position model. The record is from RNAcentral.
CCUACGGGUGGCAGCAGUGAGGAAUAUUGGUCAAUGGACGAGAGUCUGAACCAGCCAAGUAGCGUGAAGGAUGACUGCUCUAUGGGUUGUAAACUUCUUUUAUAUGGGAAUAAAAUGGUCCACGUGUGGUAUUUUGUAUGUACCAUAUGAAUAAGGAUCGGCUAACUCCGUGCCAGCAGCCGCGGUAAUACGGAGGAUCCGAGCGUUAUCCGGAUUUAUUGGGUUUAAAGGGGGCGUAGGUGGUUUGUUAAGUCAGUUGUGAAAGUUUGCGGCUCAACCGUGAAAUUGCAGUUGAAACUGGCAGUCUUGAGUACAGUAGAGGUAGGCGGAAUGCGUGGUGUAGCGGUGAAAUGCUUAGAUAUCACGAAGAACUCCGAUUGCGAAGGCAGCUUACUGGACUGCAACUGACACUGAGGCACGAAAGUGUGGGUAUCAAACAGGAUUAGAUACCCGUGUAGUC